AAGAGACAGCAGCAGCCGCGGUAAUACGAAGGGUGCAAGCGUUAAUCGGAAUUACUGGGCGUAAAGCGUGCGUAGGCGGUUUGUUAAGUCUGCUGUGAAAUCCCCGGGCUCAACCUGGGAAUGGCAAUGGAUACUGGCAAGCUAGAGUGUGUCAGAGGAUGGUGGAAUUCCCGGUGUAGCGGUGAAAUGCGUAGAGAUCGGGAGGAACAUCAGUGGCGAAGGCGGCCAUCUGGGACAACACUGACGCUGAGGCACGAAAGCGUGGGGAGCAAACAGGAUUAGAUACCCCCGUAGUCCCUGUCUCUUAUAC
RNAcentral lists this ribosomal RNA (310 nucleotides) under uncultured bacterium. RNAcentral describes it as "partial 16S ribosomal RNA". It matches the Rfam family "Bacterial small subunit ribosomal RNA", at positions 503 to 807 of the family's 1533-position model. The record is from RNAcentral.